This 3300-nucleotide long non-coding RNA is filed under the name Nilaparvata lugens (brown planthopper). RNAcentral describes it as "uncharacterized LOC120352502, transcript variant X3". Lineage: Eukaryota; Metazoa; Arthropoda; Insecta; Hemiptera; Delphacidae. The record is from RNAcentral.
ACUUGUUAGUUCACGGUGACCCAUCUUCCCAGAUAGGUGGAAAUGCUAGUGGUUCCCUUGGAAUGUCUUAUUACUUUAGAUGAAUAAUGUUUUAGUUGUGAUGAAUAUGCUAUUCAAAGACUUCAUGUUAUGUAUUCUAUUUUGCGGUACUUAGUGCUAAUAUUGGACCCUGUAAAAAUGGUAGGGUUUCAUUUUGUGUUAGUGAAAAGUGAUUCGCCUAAGGCCCUAAUAUUAUUCAAGUGCUUUGAAACGUUUUAGAAAUCCCAGAAUAAAUUAGACGAUGCAUAUUUUUAUUGGUAACAGGCUCUCCGUUGAAGGUGGAGGUGGAUGGAGAUACAUGCAUGGAUGAUGUGAGACCAAGAUGAUGUGAGCUGGGCGGGCGGGCAUCCUUCUGUAAUCACCCGAAGCCUUCAAGGAGGACAUGACCGUUUGAACGAGUACUUGAUGGUGUGAGGUGGUCCAGCCUUCCCCCUCUUCAUCAUCUACCUUUCACCACUGUGGGACGAAGCUAGAGACUAGUUCCAAUCAGUGAGCAGAGUGAGAAGGAAAGAGGAGAGGAGAGAAGAACACGGCAGCGAGCGAAGAGAGUUCUUAAUGGUUGCAAACCUCUGGAUUACCACUGGAUGGCGAGCGAAGCGAGUUCUCAUUGGUAGCAGACCACUGGAAUGCGAGCGAAGCGAGUUCUUACUGGUUGCAGACCACUGGAUUGCGCGGAUACCGACAUGGAGGAGAGAGAGAGAGACAGACAACGCCAAAGGAUGGCCUGCUUAAACGGAACAGUGGGAAGAAGAAGGAAGAUAGAAAGAAGAUGCAGCAAAGAAGAUACAUUUUUACAAAAUAGAGGGACUCUAGUGUAAGAGUUUAAAGUGAAAACUAAAAAACAUUUACAUUGAAAAGUACAUAACAAUGAAUAUUAUUGAUGUAAAGUGAUAGUGAAAGGACUCGAAUUUACUUUCAUUCUCAAAAGACGUUGAAUUAUUGUUUCAUAUUUUAUUUGUUUGUGAUGUUGUUGUGUAUGUUUUGGUGUAAAUAAUAAAUGCCUAUGGGGUGGGUGUCCUAUUUGGGGUAUUUUCAGGUAUCGUGAGUUAUGUGAAAACUACAAACAUUGACAUUGAAAAGUGCAUAACAGUGAAUUAUUGAUGAGAAGUGAUAGUGAAAUGACUCGAAUUUACUUUCAUUCUCAAGUGACUUUGAAUUGAUUCAUAUUUUGCUUGUUUUGCUGUAAAUAAUUUAUAUGCCUAUGGGGUGGGGGGUCCUUUCAGGCAUCGGAAGCAGCUGGAGGGACGGACGGCCUACGCAGAACUUCAAUCAAGGUAAAAGUCAGCUCUCGACCGAUUUUAACAGUUCAAGUUUUUGUUCUAAACUCUCCAGUUUUAUUUUUAAUUCAAUCUUCUCUAAAACUUUCUAAUUUUCUUCUAUGAAUUAUUAAUAUUCACUGAAUAUUGAUAAUUAUUGAAUACUGAUUUUAAAUUAACUUUUCUCAAUCUAUUUAAAUUCAAAUUAUAUCCUAAAUUUCAAUCUUUGUUCUUCACCACCUAUUUGUACAGUUGAUGUCUUGUUGAACUGUUCAGUUCGGUCCUGGGCGACUUGUGUGGAAUUGGUAAAUGCAUGUCUAGACCAUUACCCCUCAAGUUUUUUUUCAGCUUUUUUACUUUCAAAUUGCAGUUUAUUUAUUUCAGUUGCUUUGGAGGAGAACCUUCAGUUCGAACUCAAGUCGAGAGAGUUUGUUUUUAGUUUAUUACAUUUUGUUUUAUGGAACUUAAAACUCUUCAUUUUUUUCAGUUCUUUAUUUUUUUUGUUGCUUUGGAGGUGAACCUUCAGUUCAAAUUCAAUAUCGAAGUAUAUGUCGAUAAGGGAUGUUUUGUUUAGUUUGUUUCUUUUAAUUUCUUCAAAACUGUCCCCGAUUUUAUUUCAAUUUAGUUUGGGGUUUUCUUUUUAUUUCUUCGAAACUAUCCCAAUCUUUUUUUUUACUAGAAUUUCUAAUUUAUGUAUUGUUUUGUGAUUAGAUUUUUCUGGGUGCUGCCACACUGUUUGGUUUUUUUUCAGGAGGAAAUCAUUGUCAUCAUCAUUUGUAUAUUGUUUUGUUAUGUUUGUUGUGUGUUGUUGCAUCUCUCAAAAUAUUGUUAGUGAACUAUUUUCAAUCAUUUCUAUUGUAAUAAGUUUGUACAUUGUCAGUGUAAUUUGUAUGUACUUCCUUCCUUCUCAUUGCACCAUCCAUUCAUAUUUCUAACUUCAAUUCACUUUAUUUCAUCUUUCUUUUUUCUCAAUUUCAUUUCCAACUUACUUCUUGGCUUCCCGAUGGUUCGAAACCCACCUUGACCUGUAGGUCCACUCAUCUCUCAUCAUUAUCCAAUCUAUUACCCACCCACGCACAAGCCUAGAGCUCGUGUGGGCAUCAUCCAUCAUAUUACAUCAUUCCAAAAACUAUCAUUAUCAAUUCCUCAAUUGUUUUACUAUUUCUGACCACCUUAAAUAAAAACUAAUCUUUCCCUCAAUUUAUCAGUUCAUUCAUUACUCUCGAAUUGUUAACCCCUAAAUCUAAAUUAAUAUCAAAAUUAAGUUCCUAAUCUUCAGAGUAACCUGAAUAUUUAAGAGCCGUCUCUGCUAAGAAAAUUUUAAUCUCAAUAAUAAUAAUAAUAGAAAUCUCACUUAAUAAUAAUUAAAAUGCCACUCAAUAAUAUAAUAAUCCCACUUGAAGCUUUAGGUCCACUUACCUCAAUUGUUUUACUGUUUGUGACCACCUUAAAUCUAAACUAAUCUUUUCCUCAAUUUAUCAGUUCAUUCAUUUAUCUCGAAUUUGUUAACCCCUAAAUCUAAAUUAAUAUCAAAAUUAAGUUCCUAAUCUUCAGAGUAACCUAAAUAUUUAAGAGCCGUCUGUGCUAAGAAUAAUUUUAGUCUCACUUAUUAAUAAUUGAAACCCCACUUAAUAAUAAUUGAAAUGCCACUCAAUAUUAUAAUAUAAUAAUACCACUUGAAGCUUUAGGUCCACUUACCUUCCAUCAUACUGUCAUUAUCAAUUCCUCAAUUGUUUUACUAUUUCUGACCACAUUUCAUAUAAAAAUCUUUCCCUCAAUUAAUUUCAUCACUUUCAAAUUGUAAACCCCUAGAUCGAAAUUAAUAUCAAAAUUAAGUUCCUAAUCUUCAGAGUAACCUAAAUAUUUAAAAACUGUCUCUGCUAAGAAAAUUUUAAUCUCAAUAAUAAUAGAAAUCCCAUUUAAUAAUAAUUAAAAUGCCACUCAAUAAUAUAAUAAUCCCACUUGAAGCUUUAGGUCCACUUAUCUCAUAUUGUUUUACCGUUUC